This is a non-coding RNA of Pelobates cultripes (western spadefoot toad), 214 nucleotides long. NCBI's taxonomy places the organism in Eukaryota, Metazoa, Chordata, Amphibia, Anura, Pelobatidae. The record is from the annotation of a GenBank genome assembly.
CUGGAAUUCAGGAUGUAGAGCAGUGUCUCCCACUCAGUGUAUAUAAUCAAUUAUUACAUUUACCCAUUUUAUUGAUGCAGGGAAUCAGUUUGUCAUUAUUGUAUCCCUGACUCCGCACCCUUGCUCUUUUGCUUGCAAAAGUCAUGAGUGUGCAAAGUUUCUUAUGCGUGGUUAGUGGUAGUUCUCUGGAAAUAAGAUGCCUGGAUUAAUGUGG